Molecule: ribosomal RNA, 260 nt
Filed under: uncultured bacterium
Lineage: Bacteria
Description: partial 16S ribosomal RNA
Rfam family: Bacterial small subunit ribosomal RNA
Source: RNAcentral
UGAGUGGCGACGGGUGAGUAACGCGUGGGCAACCUGGCCUGUACAGGGGGAUAACACUUAGAAAUAGGUGCUAAUACCGCAUAACGGGGGAAGCCGCAUGGCUUUUCCCUGAAAACUCCGGUGGUACAGGAUGGGCCCGCGUCUGAUUAGCCAGUUGGCAGGGUAACGGCCUACCAAAGCGACGAUCAGUAGCCGGCCUGAGAGGGCGGACGGCCACACUGGGACUGAGACACGGCCCAAACUCCUACGGAAGGCAGCAG